CAAUAGCGUAUAUUAAAGUUGUUGCAGUUAAAAAGCUCGUAGUUGGAUUUUUGCUUGCCGCCGAUGUCGGAACUUCCGUACGUUCGGCGGCGUGCAUCCUUGGGUGGAACCUGUGUGGCAUUAGGUUGUCGUGCAGGGGAUGCUCAUCGUUUACUGUGAAAAAAUUAGAGUGUUCAAAGCAGGCUUACGCCGUUGAAUAUAUUAGCAUGGAAUAAUAAGAUAGGACCUUGGUACUAUUUUGUUGGUUUGCGCACCGAGGUAAUGAUUAACAGGGACAGUUGGGGGUAUUCGUAUUCCAUUGUCAGAGGUGAAAUUCUUGGAUUUCUGGAAGACGAACUACUGCGAAAGCAUUUACCAAGGAUGUUUUCAUUAA
This 373-nucleotide ribosomal RNA is filed under the name uncultured eukaryote. RNAcentral's name for it is "partial 18S ribosomal RNA". It matches the Rfam family "Eukaryotic small subunit ribosomal RNA", at positions 592 to 976 of the family's 1831-position model. The record is from RNAcentral.